This is a long non-coding RNA of Electrophorus electricus (electric eel), 966 nucleotides long. RefSeq lists it as uncharacterized. The record is from RefSeq and is a predicted model, not a curated record. NCBI's taxonomy places the organism in Eukaryota, Metazoa, Chordata, Actinopteri, Gymnotiformes, Gymnotidae.
CGAGCAGGGUGCAUCUCAGGCAUAUAUGCAUUGCUUGUACAAUUAGAAUACAUUUAUUAAUAUAAUUAUGCCAGUAUCAGCACUAUUCUGAAAGGGAGAUAAUCCUUUGCUUUUAUUUCGUUCCGAAAUUGAUGGCAUAUAACACUCUCGCAGGUUCAGGAACAUAGCACAUAAUGUACGCGGAUGAAAAAUGUUCUCCUAGAACAGGGGCAGUAAAUAAGGUCUUUAGGAGGCUGGGAGACGAUAACUGGCGAAUGUCAAGGGAGCGCGCUAGGGGUCUCAUGGCGUCGAAUCAGCCCCUCGCAUAGACCACACAGAUGCCUGCGAUAAGACAUCCGUUGUCUCUUUCCUCUGAUAAUUUGUCUGACGGAGCUUAAAGAGGACAGAGGCGAGUGAAAGGAUUGACCUUUCCCUUUCUUUGUGGCUUCCGCGUCGCCAGCUUUUUUUGGCUCUUUGGCUUUUAUCUGAAGAGUCAGGCGCACGCUCAUCAUUAACCAACUGAAUGAUGAAUAUGAAAAUAUCAACACAUUUAUCCUCCAGGGCCUGUUUUGUGGAUGUCUAAACCUUUAAUAUGGCAAUCUAAUUAAAAUAUAGAGUAGAACUUUACAAAAUGAUAAGUUGUGCUGCACUUGUAUUUUUAACUUCCCAAAAUACCACAUUAGUAACAACAGAAAAUUCAUACUAAUGACUCCCUUCUUGAUAAACUGAGCAAAUUCUCUUACAAAUAUGAAUGUGACCACCAGUAUUAAGCUACUACCCAUAGAUGUCCGACCACCAGGGUUAAGAUACCACUACAGCUGUCUAACUGCCGGUGUAAAGAUACUACUCGCGCAUGUCUGACCACCAGUGUUAAGCAACUACCUGCAGAUGGCCAAACUACUGCACAACCCAGGAUACCAUCUCUAAAACCAUUUGUAACUCAGUAUCCAUGGCUGAACUCAUCUGAUCUCCAAGCAACCUUUGUUU